UUUCCGUAGGUGAACCUGCGGAAGGAUCAUUCAUAAUAAAGUGUUUUAUGGCACUUUUUAAAAAUCCAUAUCCACCUUGUGUGCAAUGUUAGAUCUCGUCAAUCUUGGCGAGAUUUUUAUACAUCAACUCAUUUUUUAACUAAUUUGUCUGAAAAAUAUUAUGAAUACUUAAUUCAAAAUACAACUUUCAACAACGGAUCUCUUGGCUCUCGUAUCGAUGAAGAACGCAGC
This 231-nucleotide unclassified non-coding RNA is filed under the name plant metagenome. Its description in RNAcentral is "partial contains small subunit ribosomal RNA, internal transcribed spacer 1, and 5.8S ribosomal RNA". The stretch from base 183 to 231 matches the Rfam family "5.8S ribosomal RNA", at positions 1 to 49 of the family's 154-position model. The record is from RNAcentral.